CCCUUAGAUGUUCUGGGCCGCACGCGCGCUACACUGAUGCAUUCAACGAGUUUCUUCCUGGUCCGAGAGGAAUGGGUAACCUUUUGAAAGUGCAUCGUGAUAGGGAUAGACUAUUGCAAUUAUUGGUCUUCAACGAGGAAUUCCUAGUAGACGUAGUUCAUCAGACUGCAUCGAUUACGUCCCUGCCCUUUGUACACACCGCCCGUCGCUCCUACCGAUUGAAUGCUCAGGUGAGCCAUUCGGACUUUCAUCAGGCUGGUUUCCAGUUUUGAUGAAGGAAAGUCUUGCGAACCUUAUCAUUUAGAGGAAGGAGAAGUCGUAACA
Molecule: ribosomal RNA, 324 nt
Filed under: uncultured eukaryote
Lineage: Eukaryota
Description: partial 18S ribosomal RNA
Rfam family: Eukaryotic small subunit ribosomal RNA
Source: RNAcentral